GAAAUGGUAGUCUAAUGAAGACAGUUGAUUUCGACUCAACAAAUUAUGAAUUACCCCAUACCAUCUCU
This 68-nucleotide transfer RNA is filed under the name Pithecopus megacephalus (large-headed leaf frog). RNAcentral describes it as "tRNA-Arg". The record is from RNAcentral. Lineage: Eukaryota; Metazoa; Chordata; Amphibia; Anura; Hylidae.